Lutra lutra (Eurasian river otter) is the source of this 104-nucleotide small nuclear RNA. The record is from RefSeq and is a predicted model, not a curated record. Lineage: Eukaryota; Metazoa; Chordata; Mammalia; Carnivora; Mustelidae.
GUGCUUUGGCAGCACAUAUACUAAAAAUUGGAAUGAUACAGAGAAGAUUAGCAUGGCCCCUGCACAAGGAUGACACGCAAAUUCGUGAAACGGUUCAUAUUUUU